Molecule: ribosomal RNA, 253 nt
Filed under: uncultured bacterium
Lineage: Bacteria
Description: partial 16S ribosomal RNA
Rfam family: Bacterial small subunit ribosomal RNA
Source: RNAcentral
UACAGAGACUGCAAGCGUUAUUCGGAUUCACUGGGCGUAAAGGGUGCGCAGGCGGCCAAGUGUGUUAGGCGUGAAAGCCCCGGGCUCAACCUGGGAGGUGCGCUUGAUACUCGAGGGCUUGAGUGCGGGAGAGGAGAGUGGAAUUCCCAGUGUAGAGGUGAAAUUCGUAGAUAUUGGGAAGAACACCGGUGGCGAAGGCGGCUCUCUGGACCGUAACUGACGCUGAGGCGCGAAAGCGUGGGGAGCAAACAGG